GACGAACGCUGGCGGCGUGCUUAACACAUGCAAGUCGAACGGAAAGGCCCCUUCGGGGGUACUCGAGUGGCGAACGGGUGAGUAACACGUGAGUAACCUGCCCUUGACUUCGGGAUAACUUCAGGAAACUGGGGCUAAUACCGGAUAGGAAUCCUUGCUGCAUGGUGGGGGUUGGAAAGCUUCGGCGGUUUUGGAUGGACUCGCGGCUUAUCAGCUUGUUGGUGGGGUAGUGGCUUACCAAGGCUUUGACGGGUAGCCGGCCUGAGAGGGCGACUGGCCACAUUGGGACUGAGAUACGGCCCAGACUCCUACGGGAGGCAGCAGUGGGGAAUAUUGCACAAUGGGCGGAAGCCUGAUGCAGCAACGCCGCGUGCGGGAUGACGGCCUUCGGGUUGUAAACCGCUUUCAGCAGGGGCGAAGCUUGUGGUGACGGUACCUGCAGAAGAAGCACCGGCUAACUACGUG
RNAcentral lists this ribosomal RNA (465 nucleotides) under uncultured bacterium. Its description in RNAcentral is "partial 16S ribosomal RNA". It matches the Rfam family "Bacterial small subunit ribosomal RNA", at positions 28 to 507 of the family's 1533-position model. The record is from RNAcentral.